This 405-nucleotide ribosomal RNA is filed under the name Triticum aestivum (bread wheat). RNAcentral's name for it is "partial small subunit ribosomal RNA". Lineage: Eukaryota; Viridiplantae; Streptophyta; Magnoliopsida; Poales; Poaceae. The record is from RNAcentral.
AUGAUGGCAUCGACAAGAGUCGUGGUCUUCACCAGAUCACUCACUCCAACUUGCAUUAGGUUGUGUGCAGUUUGCUUCAUCAUCAACCAUGUUAUUUUCAUUAAAGUUAAGCUUGGAAAGGGCAACUUAGUCUGUAGUGCUUACUGUGGUAGUCAAGUAUCUAGAGUACCAUGUUCUGAAAACACACACAUGAUGCUUCAAGCUAUCCAUACACUAAGAUUGCAACAUAAUACCUAUGCUUGGGCUUUGCGACAAAGAUGCCAAAUUGGCCUGUACUGGCUCAUUAUUAUGCUGCAAGGGAAUGCACUUUCGACAAAUUGUUGUUUGCAGUACCCCUUUUUGUCAGUUAGCUUGCGACCAUUAGGAAUUGAUUCUAACUUGCUAGGGGUUGGUCCUAGAGAAUAA